RNAcentral lists this ribosomal RNA (494 nucleotides) under uncultured bacterium. Its description in RNAcentral is "partial 16S ribosomal RNA". It matches the Rfam family "Bacterial small subunit ribosomal RNA", at positions 28 to 507 of the family's 1533-position model. The record is from RNAcentral.
GACGAACGCUGGCGGCGUGCUUAACACAUGCAAGUCGAACGGAAAGGCCUGCUUUCCCUUGUGGAUUGCGGGUACUCGAGUGGCGAACGGGUGAGUAACACGUGAGUGAUCUGCCCCCAACUUGGGUAUAAGCCUGGGAAACUGGGUCUAAUUCCCGAUAGGACUGCAGGGUGGUGCCUGUGGUGGAAAACGAUUUUCUAGUGGUUGGGGAUGAGCUCGCGGCCUAUCAGCUUGUUGGUGGGGUAAUGGCCUACCAAGGCGGCGACGGGUAGCCGGCCUGAGAGGGUGGACGGCAACAUUGGGACUGAGAUACGGCCCAGACUCCGACGGGAGGCAGCAGUGGGGAAUAUUGCACAAUGGGCGGAAGCCUGAUGCAGCGACGCCGCGUGGGGGAUGACGGCCUUCGGGUUGUAAACUCCUUUCGACCGCGAGGAAGCCACCUGGUUGGAAGGGUGGUGACGGUAGUGGUAGAAGAAGCACCGGCUAACUACGUG